GAUCAUGGCUCAGGACGAACGCUGGCGGCGCGCCUAACACAUGCAAGUCUAACGGGGUUAUACGGGAUGAAGUUUUCGGAUGGAAUUCUAUAUAACCUAGUGGCGGACGGGUGAGUAACACGUGAGCAACCUGCCUAUCAGAGGGGGAUAACGAUUGGAAACGAUCGCUAAUACCGCAUGACAUAGCGAAGAGGCAUCUUUUUGCUAUAAAAGAUUUAUCGCUGAUAGAUGGGCUCGCG
RNAcentral lists this ribosomal RNA (239 nucleotides) under uncultured bacterium. Its description in RNAcentral is "partial 16S ribosomal RNA". It matches the Rfam family "Bacterial small subunit ribosomal RNA", at positions 15 to 235 of the family's 1533-position model. The record is from RNAcentral.